Molecule: small nucleolar RNA, 137 nt
Organism: Octodon degus (degu)
Lineage: Eukaryota; Metazoa; Chordata; Mammalia; Rodentia; Octodontidae
Source: Ensembl
CUGGUGCUGAAGAAAGGCUUGCAGUUUUCUGAAGCUGUUGGUUUCAAGCAGGAGUCUAUAAUGGUAGCUUUCUAUCGCUUGUUGGCCAUUUCAGAACUUUAGAAAUGUAAUGGUCAUUUCACUAGAAGGAAACAACA